Molecule: non-coding RNA, 142 nt
Organism: Caenorhabditis elegans
Lineage: Eukaryota; Metazoa; Nematoda; Chromadorea; Rhabditida; Rhabditidae
Source: Ensembl
AGAGUUUGUGAGAAGAAUGAAAAGGCUUUGUGUCCAUGGCGAAGCAAAAUCUAACAAGUUGUGGAAAGUGGUACCGGGAAUAAGAAGUAGGAGGAAGAAGGGGGAAUGGAAGUCUUUUGAAAAGAGGACAGACUUAAGGAGG